AAAAGUUGGGGAGACCUGACGCUGAAAGAUGGACUCGCGUCCCAUUAGCUAGUUGGUAGGGUAAUGGCCUACCAAGGCGACGAUGGGUAGCCGGCCUGAGAGGGUGGCCGGCCACACUGGGACUGAGACACGGCCCAGACUCCUACGGGAGGCAGCAGUGGGGAAUUUUGCGCAAUGCUCGUAAGAGUGACGCAGCGACGCCGCGUGAAUGACGAAGGCCUUCGGGUCGUAAAGUUCUUUCGACAGGGAAGAAAAUGCCUAUAAGUAACUGUGUAUGUAUUGACGGUACCUGUAUAAGCAGCCCCGGCUAACUCCGUGCCAGCAGCCGCGGUAAUACGGAGGGGGCGAGCGUUGUUCGGAGUGACUGGGCGUAAAGAGCACGUAGGCGGUGUUGUAAGUCAUUAGUCAAAGACUAGAGCUCGACUUUAGUAAGGCUAGUGAUACUAUAAUACUAGAGUAUCAGAGAGGAUUGCAGAAUUCCUGGUGUAGCGGUGAAAUGCGUAGAUAUCAGGAGGAAUACCGUUAGCGAAGGCGGCAAUCUGGCUGGAAACUGACGCUGAGGUGCGAAAGCGUGGGUAGCAAACAGGAUUAGAUACCCUGGUAGUCCACGCUGUAAACGAUGGAUGCUAGGUGUUGGGCUUUUAAGUUCA
Molecule: ribosomal RNA, 650 nt
Filed under: uncultured bacterium
Lineage: Bacteria
Description: bacterial SSU rRNA
Rfam family: Bacterial small subunit ribosomal RNA
Source: RNAcentral